RNAcentral lists this unclassified non-coding RNA (311 nucleotides) under Hevea brasiliensis (rubber tree). Lineage: Eukaryota; Viridiplantae; Streptophyta; Magnoliopsida; Malpighiales; Euphorbiaceae. The record is from RNAcentral.
GGAAAUCACUAUCCUCAUCAGUUAGUCAUGACAUCUAUGGUGUGGUAACCUCAUUUUGGCGGGAAAAUAUAUAGGAUGGCAGGUGUAUUCUCAUCAGUCAUAUUUCAAAUAUACAAUUUUCAAUUGAAUAUCUGACUAUUAGUGCAUUGUCUUUGUUUUCUGAUAUUGUAUAUAAGCCCUUCUAACUUAAGAUAUUGUUUGGGGUUGACAGAAAAUUAUCUUUUAUUGUCAUUUCUAGAUUUCAAUUAUUGAAGAAUAGUUUAUCUAGUCUCCACAGGAGGUUCAUGGAAGAUUUACCAAGCCAAUAAUGU